Molecule: microRNA precursor, 208 nt
Filed under: Cinara cedri
Lineage: Eukaryota; Metazoa; Arthropoda; Insecta; Hemiptera; Aphididae
Source: RNAcentral
GAAAAACUGAGAGAUAGAGAGAGAGAGAGAGAGAGGGAGAGCGAGAGUGAGAAGUACAAAGGGAACGGCGGCGGCAUUAAGCCCUACGAGCGCAGAUUUAUACUUCCGAACGACCGGCGCUCCUGACGGCAGUAAAAACUUUGAACCUCGUUUUAUCUCUUUCUCUCUCUCUCUCUCCCUCUCUCUCUCUCCCUAUCUCUCCCUCUCU